UACGAAGGGGGCUAGCGUUGCUCGGAAUUACUGGGCGUAAAGCGCACGUAGGCGGAUUUGUCAGUUGGGGGUGAAAUCCUAGGGCUCAACCCUGGAACUGCCUUCAAUACUGCCAGUCUAGAGAUCGAGAGAGGUGAGUGGAAUUCCGAGUGUAGAGGUGAAAUUCGCAGAUAUUCGGAGGAACACCAGUGGCGAAAGCGGCUCACUGGGUCUCUGCUGACGAUGAGGCACGAAAGACAGGGUAGCGAACGGG
This 253-nucleotide ribosomal RNA is filed under the name uncultured bacterium. RNAcentral's name for it is "partial 16S ribosomal RNA". It matches the Rfam family "Bacterial small subunit ribosomal RNA", at positions 524 to 776 of the family's 1533-position model. The record is from RNAcentral.